GUGUACCAUGAUUCGUCUUGAGUGUCCAGGGCCCUACCAACACAAUUGCACUAUUGUCCUCGGUUGCGCUUCACCACUCUCUGGUUGGUUGUUUGCAUGUGCGCAUGGAUCUGCUGGCGAAUGUAUCGUUCUCGCGGCAGCACCUUUACCAUACUCCUGUCGCAACAAAAUGGUGCCGACCGGGCUGCGAAGAAGCAUUUCGUUGUAGCGUUCGGUCAUAAAAAAACGGGUGAAUGCGUAACGGAAAUGUAGCAGCAAGCUUUCAUCUAAUUUCACCAAAACCCAACUGCCACUUAUUGCUGAGUGUUCUUUCUGUGAGCCACUUCGUACUCAACAGUGACACGUUUCGGGGUAGCAAAGAACGGUGCUUCUUCUUCUGCUUCUGAUUGGUGCAACGAAUCCGGGGCGCAUCAUAAAACUGAACCUUCGAGGUUUUGUCUGUGCCGAGUCGGCGAGUGGGAGAGGGAGUGCGAUGGGAUGGAAUGUAAUGCAGUUUACAAGGUUGAUGUAUAACGGAAUGACUUUCACGGAAUGAAUGAAUGAGUGGAGAAAAUUUACAAACACCAGGAAUCAGCGAAGAGGAACACACAUUUCUCAUUUCUUUUUAUUGUGCUGUGUCGUGUGUAUUAUGACAGCAGAGGAAAUAUCCUUGAAGAGGUCAAAUUCUUGAGACGAUGGCGUACAAAAUAUUAUUUGCAUUUUUGCUUCUUCCGAAUAAACCAUAUUUGCUUUAAAAUAUUAUUCUAUUAAAAGAUCUGCCGAUCUCACAGAUCUAUUCAUUAUGAUCACGAUGCCCUGUACGCAGCUACGAAGCUACGAAAACUAUCAAAUCAAUGAAGUCAGAAAUGGUAGUUCAAGAUCUUUCACGGUGAUUGUGGAGUUCUAAUGAAGACUCAGUGGCACAUUUGUUGCUCAAUUUCCCUUAAUUAAAGGAAGCAUUGGGGAGGCCCGGUAGCAGGUGCGAUCGUAUUAUUUUAAGAUGCUUACCUCUUGUGUCCUGACCAACAACAAAAAAGUGCCUCAAAUAAUGUUCCAUUUUAAACCAAAGCAUUUUAUACGCAGAAUAAAAGGUCAAACCCCUGGCAA
Molecule: long non-coding RNA, 1086 nt
Organism: Anopheles stephensi (Asian malaria mosquito)
Lineage: Eukaryota; Metazoa; Arthropoda; Insecta; Diptera; Culicidae
Exons: 2
Source: RefSeq, a predicted model, not a curated record